AGGAUGAACGCUGGCGGCGUGCCUAACACAUGCAAGUCGAACGUCCUGUCUCGCAAGAGGCAGGGAGUGGCGGACGGGUGAGUACCACGUGGGUCAUCUACCGUGAGGUGAGGAAUACCGGCGAGAAAUCGCCGACAAGACCGCAUAGGCUCGAUGCAAGUCGAGCAAAGCUCUUUCGAGAGAGGGAGCGCCACACGAGGAGCCUGCGCCCGAUUAGCUAGCUGGUGGAGUAACGGUUCACCAGGGCGACGAUCGGUAGCUGGUCUGAGAGGACGAUCAGCCACACUGGGAUUGAGAACGGCCCAGACUCCUACGGGGGGCAGCAGUGAGGAAUUUCGUCAAUGGGGGCAACCCUGAACGAGCAACGCCGCGUGCAGGAAGAAGGUUUUCGGAUCGUAAACUGCUUUUCUCGGGGAAGAGAACGGACGGUACCCGAGGAAUCAGCCCCGGCUAACUACGCGCCAGCAACCGC
RNAcentral lists this ribosomal RNA (472 nucleotides) under uncultured bacterium. Its description in RNAcentral is "SSU rRNA". It matches the Rfam family "Bacterial small subunit ribosomal RNA", at positions 26 to 518 of the family's 1533-position model. The record is from RNAcentral.